This is a long non-coding RNA of Microtus ochrogaster (prairie vole), 656 nucleotides long. RefSeq lists it as uncharacterized. The transcript is spliced from 3 exons. Lineage: Eukaryota; Metazoa; Chordata; Mammalia; Rodentia; Cricetidae. The record is from RefSeq and is a predicted model, not a curated record.
ACUUCUGGUCCUCCAGACGCCCUUGACCCAGAUCACUCAUAGGCAGAAUUCCAGUCGUGGGAGAUCCAGGGAUGGAUAGAAGUGUUUCCGGUCUCCAGAGAAACAGCAGAUGUGAUGGCUAGGAUCAUGGAGCUCGUGUAGUCAGAAGCUCUCAACACCUCCUGGACAAUGGGACUCAUCAAACAUCAACUAACCAAGCUCUCCACUGAACUCAGACACCCGCCUUCUCAUCUCGCCCAAGGAACAGAUGCCGGCGUAUCCAAAAUGACAGCUGACAGGAUGCCUUUCCAGCCACACCUCUCACUGAACGUGGACACCUAGCUCUCCUCUUCCCCAUGCCACCCCUUGCCCGCAGGAAGUAGCCAGAUUUGAGUCUAUGCCCUUUUUACAACGAGAGCCUAAAUGUUUGUCAUAAUUACCACUCCAAUUUUCUGUCACCCCUAUAUCCAAAGAGUCUGGAAUGUCAGGUUGGGAGCAUAGGCUCCUUGCAUCUAUCCCAGUCCCCAGACCUGGUCUGGACUCCAAAUCCCAGCAGGCCAGGUCCUGACCCCUCUCUGGGGGUGGGGUUAGGACCCCUUUUCCCCAGGAUAUUUAAAUGAGUUCCCAAAAGAGGAACACAUGGUCUCCUCUCUGUGUCUUUCUCCUGGUGGUCAUGU